RNAcentral lists this ribosomal RNA (495 nucleotides) under uncultured bacterium. RNAcentral's name for it is "partial 16S ribosomal RNA". It matches the Rfam family "Bacterial small subunit ribosomal RNA", at positions 28 to 507 of the family's 1533-position model. The record is from RNAcentral.
GACGAACGCUGGCGGCGUGCCUAAUACAUGCAAGUAGAACGCUGAAGGAGGAGCUUGCUUCUCUGGAUGAGUUGCGAACGGGUGAGUAACGCGUAGGUAACCUGCCUGGUAGCGGGGGAUAACUAUUGGAAACGAUAGCUAAUACCGCAUAAUAGUAGAUGUUGCAUGACAUUUGCUUAAAAGGUGCAAUUGCAUCACUACCAGAUGGACCUGCGUUGUAUUAGCUAGUUGGUGGGGUAACGGCUCACCAAGGCGACGAUACAUAGCCGACCUGAGAGGGGUGACGGCCACACUGGGAACGAGGCACCGCCCCGAAUCCUUACGGGGGGAGCAGGAGGGGAAUUUCGGCAAAGGGGGGAAGUCUGGCCGCACAAAGCCGCGGGGGGGGAGGAGGGUCUCGGAUCGUAAAACUCCGUUGUAAGAGAAGAAAGAGUGGGAGGGUGGAAAGUUCACACUGUGACGGUAUCUUAACAGAAAGGGACGGCUAACUACGUG